UACGUAGGUCCCGAGCGUUAUCCGGAUUUAUUGGGUUUAAAGGGUGCGUAGGCGGAGUGCCAAGUCAGCGGUAAAAAUUCGGGGCUCAACCCCGUCGUGCCGUUGAAACUGGCGCCCUUGAGUGGGCGAGAAGUAUGCGGAAUGCGUGGUGUAGCGGUGAAAUGCAUAGAUAUCACGCAGAACCCCGAUUGCGAAGGCAGCAUACCGGCGCCCGACUGACGCUGAAGCACGAAAGCGUGGGUAUCGAACAGG
Molecule: ribosomal RNA, 252 nt
Filed under: uncultured bacterium
Lineage: Bacteria
Description: partial 16S ribosomal RNA
Rfam family: Bacterial small subunit ribosomal RNA
Source: RNAcentral